CCUACGGGAGGCUGCAGUGGGGAAUAUUGGACAAUGGGCGAAAGCCUGAUCCAGCCAUGCCGCGUGUGUGAAGAAGGCCUUCGGGUUGUAAAGCACUUUCAGUGGGGAAGAAAGCCUUGGGGCUAAUACCCUCGAGGAAGGACAUCACCCACAGAAGAAGCACCGGCUAACUCCGUGCCAGCAGCCGCGGUAAUACGGAGGGUGCGAGCGUUAAUCGGAAUUACUGGGCGUAAAGCGCGCGUAGGCGGUCUGAUAAGCCGGUUGUGAAAGCCCCGGGCUCAACCUGGGAACGGCAUCCGGAACUGUCAGGCUAGAGUGCAGGAGAGGAAGGUAGAAUUCCCGGUGUAGCGGUGAAAUGCGUAGAGAUCGGGAGGAAUACCAGUGGCGAAGGCGGUCUUCUGGACUGACACUGACGCUGAGGUGCGAAAGCGUGGGUAGCAAACAGGAUUAGCUACCCGUGUAGUC
RNAcentral lists this ribosomal RNA (465 nucleotides) under Vreelandella stevensii. RNAcentral describes it as "partial 16S ribosomal RNA". It matches the Rfam family "Bacterial small subunit ribosomal RNA", at positions 338 to 795 of the family's 1533-position model. Lineage: Bacteria; Pseudomonadati; Pseudomonadota; Gammaproteobacteria; Oceanospirillales; Halomonadaceae. The record is from RNAcentral.